Long non-coding RNA from Neofelis nebulosa (Clouded leopard), 459 nucleotides. RefSeq lists it as uncharacterized. The record is from RefSeq and is a predicted model, not a curated record. NCBI's taxonomy places the organism in Eukaryota, Metazoa, Chordata, Mammalia, Carnivora, Felidae. The transcript has 2 exons.
UCAAGAGGAGGUAGCCCUUAAUUUUAGUGCUAAAGGAGUUCACAAAAUCCCAAGACUUCAUAUCCUCCUCUCUGAUGGGAUGUGCAUGUCUGCAUCUCUAUGAUGUAAGAGCUUCCAUUCACUCUUCUUUGUGAAUGCAGUCUACAAGCUGACCUAGAAGGAAGAGCCCUCUGCAGCCCUCACUUGGAAUGGAGCCAGGGCUCCAUUUCCCUGGAACAUAAUCCCAGCUGACUGUCUUUGCUGGAUGAGCACAGCAAAAGAAUUAAAAACUGAAGUCUGGAACCACAUAAACCCCUUAGAAGCAAAGUGGAAUGUGUAACCAGGAUCCUGGCCCCAAAUUGGCCCAGCCCAGGAAAGACCAGGGGAACACGCAUUCUACCCCACCUUCUGCCAUGCUCAAGGGCAUAAAAUCUCUUUAUGUUCUCCAAGGCCAAGAGUAAAUGCCAUCUUCUAAGACUA